AUUGAACGCUGGCGGCAGGCCUAGCACAUGCAAGUCGAGCGGAUGAAGGGAGCUUGCUCCUGGAUUCAGCGGCGGACGGGUGAGUAAUGCCUAGGAAUCUGCCUGGUAGUGGGGGAUAACGUCCGGAAACGGGCGCUAAUACCGCAUACGUCCUGAGGGAGAAAGUGGGGGAUCUUCGGACCUCACGCUAUCAGAUGAGCCUAGGUCGGAUUAGCUAGUUGGUGGGGUAAAGGCCUACCAAGGCGACGAUCCGUAACUGGUCUGAGAGGAUGAUCAGUCACACUGGAACUGAGACACGGUCCAGACUCCUACGGGAGGCAGCAGUGGGGAAUAUUGGACAAUGGGCGAAAGCCUGAUCCAGCCAUGCCGCGUGUGUGAAGAAGGUCUUCGGAUUGUAAAGCACUUUAAGUUGGGAGGAAGGGCAGUAAGUUAAUACCUUGCUGUUUUGACGUUACCAACAGAAUAAGCACCGACUAACUUCGUG
This 484-nucleotide ribosomal RNA is filed under the name uncultured bacterium. RNAcentral's name for it is "partial 16S ribosomal RNA". It matches the Rfam family "Bacterial small subunit ribosomal RNA", at positions 30 to 507 of the family's 1533-position model. The record is from RNAcentral.